ACAGGUUAUAGUAUAUAUAGAGCUCAAAUCUUUAUAUACUAUUGGCACCUCCAUGUCGUCUCAUCGCAGCCUUGCAAUAAAUUAAUAUUAUUUAGCGUGUAUUGUUGCCUUGUACACACCGCUCGUCA
Molecule: ribosomal RNA, 128 nt
Filed under: Plasmodium vivax (malaria parasite P. vivax)
Lineage: Eukaryota; Apicomplexa; Aconoidasida; Haemosporida; Plasmodiidae
Description: small subunit ribosomal RNA fragment E
Source: RNAcentral